Molecule: small nuclear RNA, 114 nt
Organism: Camellia sinensis
Lineage: Eukaryota; Viridiplantae; Streptophyta; Magnoliopsida; Ericales; Theaceae
Product: U5 spliceosomal RNA
Source: RefSeq, a predicted model, not a curated record
AGCCACGUGGUGUGCACGGAGCGAACUAUUCUUUCGCCUUUUACUAAAGAAUACCCUGUCCACGCCGCAUGUAGUGUCAUACGCAUAUUUUUGGAGGGGUUCUUCUUCUCAGUU